GCCGGGCUAGCUCAAUCGGUAGAGCGUGAGACUCUUAGUUCGCGUUCUGACAUGGCGAUAUCUCAAGGUUGCGGGUUCGACCCCCGCGUUCGGCU
This is a transfer RNA of Escovopsis weberi, 95 nucleotides long. It matches the Rfam family "tRNA". From Rfam's summary of the family: Transfer RNA (tRNA) molecules are approximately 80 nucleotides in length. Their secondary structure includes four short double-helical elements and three loops (D, anti-codon, and T loops). The record is from Rfam. Lineage: Eukaryota; Fungi; Ascomycota; Sordariomycetes; Hypocreales; Hypocreaceae.